This 460-nucleotide ribosomal RNA is filed under the name uncultured bacterium. Its description in RNAcentral is "partial 16S ribosomal RNA". It matches the Rfam family "Bacterial small subunit ribosomal RNA", at positions 338 to 795 of the family's 1533-position model. The record is from RNAcentral.
CCUACGGGUGGCAGCAGUGAGGAAUAUUGGUCAAUGGCCGAGAGGCUGAACCAGCCAAGUCGCGUGAGGGAAGACGGCCCUACGGGUUGUAAACCUCUUUUGUCAGGGAACAAAGGCGGGGACGUGUCCCCGGAUGAGUGUACCUGAAGAAAAAGCAUCGGCUAACUCCGUGCCAGCAGCCGCGGUAAUACGGAGGAUUCGAGCGUUAUCCGGAUUUAUUGGGUUUAAAGGGUGCGCAGGCGGUUCGUUAAGUUAGCGGUGAAAUCCCGGGGCUCAACCCCGGCCCCGCCUUGGAUACUGGCAGGCUCGAGUUGGAGAGAAGUAUGCGGAAUGCGCGGUGUAGCGGUGAAAUGCAUAGAGAUCGCGCAGAACGCCGAUUGCGAAGGCAGCAUGCCGGCUCCACACUGACGUUGAGGCACGAAAGCGUGGGUAUCGAACAGGAUUAGAUACCCCUGUAGUC